CAGAGACAGAAAGACAGACACGUGUCCCUGCUAACAUUUCUACAACAGGGCUAAUGAGGCAACUCUGGCACAUGCACUGACGCAGCAGGAGUCGCUCUCGCGCUCUCUCCAUCCAUCACUCUCUUUUCUCUUUCAUUCCCAGGUUCCCUCGCUCCCUCGCUGUUCCUCUCUCGACUCGCCUUCAUCCCCGGUGCCUCCGCUUCCACCGCAUCGCUUUGAAUCACAGGCGAAACCUGAAUGCUCAAUAAUUAAUCGGCGGGACGCAGAUAGAGAGAACAUGUGAGAGAGAGAGAGAGAGAGAGAGAGAGAGGGGGCGAGAGACAUCUUCUGCAUCAUCAGCACAGUGCUGACUGAACUGGGUCACAGAAAUAUUCUUGCAUUGCGGGUCAAAGAAACACGACGACGAUCCCAAAUCCCCUGCGGAAAGAAGCCCGGGAUAGACUGCUGUGUAUGUGUGUGUGUGUGUGUGUGUGUGUGUAUGUGUGUGUGUGUAAGACAGAAAGAGAGAACUAGUUUGGAUGGGCGGAGCUACCAAAAUCCAUCCUUCAUCCAUCAGCAAGUGGAGCACAAGUAUCAGUCCUCAGGGACAGACAAAAAUUGUGCCCAUGAUGAGUUGGCACCCUGUCCAGGUUGUUCCCUAUCUCGUGCCCCUGUGUGGAUAAGUGGUACAUUAAAUGGAUGGAUGGAUGAGUAGCUAAGAAAGGGAAGGGGAUGCGUGCGCUGAAGUAAAUCAGCUCGUGUGUUGUUGCGGCAGUGUGUUAUUUUGCUCUCGGUGUGUACGCGCGUGUGUGAGAAAUGUGGGAUUUGGGGAAUACACAGCAACUGGACAUCAAUGGCUGGGUCAGAACCAGUAGAGGAUAUAGAAUCCAUGGGGAGGUAGGAGAGUGUGUGUGUGUGUGUGGGGACUGGUGUACAGAAUGAUGGAUCACUAAGAUCCGCUGCUGAAUAGCACCGACAUGCUGUGUGCACCCAAACACACACUCGGGGACGUUUAAACUAAAUUAGGUCCUCAACGUCCAGCUUGCACGCAUUAAACGCCCGUAACGUUGUAAUUGAAAUUGAACCACUAAAAGCUUAUUCGCUCUAUACGGCCUUGAUGUAUCGAACAUAAAACCCAUAAUUAAAUAUAAUUACGACACACACACACACA
Ictalurus punctatus (channel catfish) is the source of this 1150-nucleotide long non-coding RNA. Lineage: Eukaryota; Metazoa; Chordata; Actinopteri; Siluriformes; Ictaluridae. The record is from Ensembl.